AACGAACGCUGGCGGCAUGCCUAACACAUGCAAGUCGAACGAGACCUCCGGGUCUAGUUGCGCUCGGGUGCGUAACGCGUGGGAACCUGCACUUAGGUUCCGAAUACUUCCCCGUAAGGGGUGCUAAUACAGGAUAAUGUAUUCGGACAAAGGAUUUACGGCUUUUGGGUGGGCCCGCGUUGGAUUCGCGAGUUGGUAGUGUAAAAGCCGGCCAAGGCGUGGAUCCAUAGCUGGUCGGAGAGGAGGACCAGCCACACUGGGAAUGAGGCACGGCCCAGAAUCGUACGGGGGGGAGGGGAGUGGAAUAUUAGACGAGGAGCGAAAGCCUGAUCCAGCAAUGCCGGGUGAGUGAGGAAGGCCGUAGGAUUGUAAAGCUCUUUGACCCGGGAUGAUAAUGACAGUACCGGGAGAAUAAGCUCCGGCUAACUCCGUG
Molecule: ribosomal RNA, 433 nt
Filed under: uncultured bacterium
Lineage: Bacteria
Description: partial 16S ribosomal RNA
Rfam family: Bacterial small subunit ribosomal RNA
Source: RNAcentral